GAUGAAGAACGCAGCAAAAUGCGAUAAGUAAUGCGAAUUGCAGAAUUUCCGUGAGUCAUCGAAUCUUUGAACGCACAUUGCGCCCGCCAGUAUUCUGGCGGGCAUGCCUGUUCGAGCGUCAUUACAACCCUCAGGCCCCCGGGCCUGGCGUUGGGGAUCGGCGGAGCCCCCCGUGGGCACACGCCGUCCCCCAAAUGCAGUGGCGGUCCCGCCGCAGCUUCCAUCGCGUAGUAGCUAACACCUCGCGACUGGAGAGCGGCGCGGCCACGCCGUAAAACACCCAACUCUUCUGAAGUUGACCUCGAAUCAGGUAGGAAUACCCGCUGAACUUAAGCAUAUCAAUAAGCGGAGGA
RNAcentral lists this unclassified non-coding RNA (353 nucleotides) under soil metagenome. RNAcentral's name for it is "partial contains 5.8S ribosomal RNA, internal transcribed spacer 2, and large subunit ribosomal RNA". The stretch from base 1 to 121 matches the Rfam family "5.8S ribosomal RNA", at positions 35 to 154 of the family's 154-position model. The record is from RNAcentral.